ACUGACCGUUAAGGCGCGAAAACGUGGGGAACCAACCGGAUUAAAUUCCCUGGUAGUUCCCCCCGUUAACGAAGGUCGAUUAGAAGUUUGUUCCCUAGAGCAGUGACUUUGGAAGUUAACGCGUUAAUCCGUCCGCCUGGGGAGUCCGGCCCCAAGGUUAAAACUCAAAGGAAUUGACGGGGGCCCGCCCAAGCGGUGGACCAUGUGGUUUAAUUCGAUGCAACGCGAAGACCCUUACCUGUUCUUGCAAUCCAGAGACUUUACAAGAGAUACUUGGGUCCUUUCGGGACUUUUAAGCAAGGUGGUCAAUGCCGGUCUCCAGUCCGUGUUGGAAAAUGUGGGGUAAAUUCCCGCACGAACCCCAACCUUUUUCCUUGGUUGCAAUCGAUUCGGUCGGGAACUCAAAGGAGACUGCCGGUGAUAAACCGGAGGAAGGUGGGGAUGACGUCAAGUCAUCAUGGCCCUUACGAGUAGGGCUACACACGUGCUCCAAUGGCGUAUACAAAGAGAAGCGACCCCGCGAGAGCAAGCGGAACUCAUAAAGUACGUCGUAGUCCGGAUUGGAGUCUGCAACUCGACUCCAUGAAGUCGGAAUCGCUAGUAAUCGUAGAUCAGAAUGCUCCGGUGAAUACGUUCCCGGCCCUUGUACACCCGCCCGUCACCCAUGGGAGUGGGUUGCAAAAGAAGUAGGUAGCUUAACCUUCGGGAGGGCGCUACCAU
This 720-nucleotide ribosomal RNA is filed under the name Providencia sp. RNAcentral's name for it is "bacterial SSU rRNA". It matches the Rfam family "Bacterial small subunit ribosomal RNA", at positions 739 to 1460 of the family's 1533-position model. The record is from RNAcentral. Lineage: Bacteria; Pseudomonadati; Pseudomonadota; Gammaproteobacteria; Enterobacterales; Morganellaceae.